AUAAUAUAGUCAACUUAGGGAGCUACCAUUUGAUUUUUAUGGGGGGGCUAGGAUGAAAUUUGAAAAAAAUAGGCAGGACAGGAGUUUUGAGUAAAAAAAAAGGCAGGAUGAGACACUUUGCAAAAAAAAAGGCAGGAUGACAAUUUAGGUAAAAAAAGUCAGGAUAAACUAAUAAAAAAAAGGCAGGACCGAAUAGAGUGAAAAAUAAAAAGGCAAGAAGGAGAUUACAACUAAAAAAAAAUGCAGGACAAAAUUUUUCAUC
RNAcentral lists this long non-coding RNA (262 nucleotides) under Mytilus galloprovincialis (Mediterranean mussel). The record is from RNAcentral. Lineage: Eukaryota; Metazoa; Mollusca; Bivalvia; Mytilida; Mytilidae.